RNAcentral lists this ribosomal RNA (332 nucleotides) under uncultured bacterium. RNAcentral describes it as "bacterial SSU rRNA". It matches the Rfam family "Bacterial small subunit ribosomal RNA", at positions 568 to 898 of the family's 1533-position model. The record is from RNAcentral.
CGCGUAGGUGGUCAGGCAGGUCAAGGGUGAAAGCCCCCGGCUCAACCGGGGAUCCGCCUUUGAAACCACCUGGCUGGAGCGGAACAGGGGAGAGUGGAACUCGUGGUGGAGCGGUGAAAUGCGUAGAUAUCACGAGGAACGCCGGUGGUGAAGACGACUCUCUGGGUUCCUGCUGACGCUGAGGCGCGAAAGCUGGGGGAGCAAACGGGAUUAGAUACCCCGGUAGUCCCAGCCGUAAACGAUGAGCACUAGGUAGGAGCGGUACCCAAUCCGUUCCUGCCGGAGAAAACUCGCUAAGUGCUCCGCCUGGGGAGUACGGCCGCAAGGUUGAA